Molecule: ribosomal RNA, 486 nt
Filed under: uncultured bacterium
Lineage: Bacteria
Description: partial 16S ribosomal RNA
Rfam family: Bacterial small subunit ribosomal RNA
Source: RNAcentral
AUUGAACGCUGGCGGCAUGCCUUACACAUGCAAGUCGAACGGCAGCACGGGUGCUUGCACCUGGUGGCGAGUGGCGAACGGGUGAGUAAUACAUCGGAACAUGUCCUGUCGUGGGGGAUAGCCCGGCGAAAGCCGGAUUAAUACCGCAUACGAUCUACGGAUGAAAGCGGGGGCCCUUCGGGCCUCGCGCUAUAGGGUUGGCCGAUGGCUGAUUAGCUAGUUGGGGGGGUAAAGGCCUACCAAGGCGACGAUCAGUAGCUGGUCUGAGAGGACGACCAGCCACACUGGGACUGAGACACGGCCCAGACUCCUACGGGAGGCAGCAGUGGGGAAUUUUGGACAAUGGGCGAAAGCCUGAUCCAGCAAUGCCGCGUGUGUGAAGAAGGCCUUCGGGUUGUAAAGCACUUUUGUCCGGAAAGAAAUCCUUGGCUCUAAUACAGUCGGGGGAUGACGGUACCGGAAGAAUAAGCACCGGCUAACUACGUG